AUCUCUCUCUCCUCCUCCUCUUCCUCCCUUUCACCUCUCUAUCCUCUUCCCUUCCCUUGAUCCGCCCCUGCUCUCCCUUUCCCAGGACUCUUUGGAGCGACUGUAUUGAUGAGAACUUUCAGCAGUGGAACUCAUUACGCCUGCCAGUCACCUCCACUGUGGCUCUCCAUGGAGAGACUGCCUCAUCCCCAGAAGAGGGCCCCCAGGAACCCCAGCUUCCACUGCUCAAGAUGAAAUUACUGCAGAGUGCAGAUCAAAGCGUCAUAAGACUCACAGCCUCCUCCAGACAGCUUCAUUCAGCCGUCAUUAAAGUAACUCCAGUGACAAGAAAGACACAGACAGAGUCAAUGUGGAAGUUUAUGAUGACACGUGGGAGGAAGACUAACGGAUAACAAGUGUGAGAAUCCUGGAGGACCCCCUGCUCAAACAAUGCGGAAUCUGGAGGUAUGUUCGAAGACAUCGAAUUGCCCACUGGGAGAAGUUACCAAGUUAUCCGUACCAGCGUCCUGGAGGAUCAACUCGACAACAGCAGCAUUCUCCCAGACCAGGUGUCUGACACUAAGGAGUCAUCACUUAGUGACUGGUGACUAAGGUGUCAUCACUUAGACUCCUGGAGGCCUUUCAUGGUGGGUCCCAGACCUGCUAGAAAGCAUUCCUACCCAGGCCUGGGAUUUUCUGAUUGGCUGUGAAAGCCCGGAGGGGAACGGCAUUCGAAGGAAUCUCUGCCCAACGAUCGAAGUCCUAUCUCGUAUGCCAGCUAGGAGGUCCUUUUAUCCUAUAAAGGCUGGCCAGGCCCUAUCUGGGGAAAUCAUGGCCCUCCUUGCCAACUGGAGGAAUAAACCUAUCAAUAUGCCAGUGUUUGUGCGGGAGUUUUAGCGGUCUGAUAACAGGAAAAGUGAAACUGUGUGGUUGGUGAGGGCUUGUCUAAGUGACUAACGUGGCAAGAGCUGGCACCACGUGGUGAACCACGGAGGUCAGCAGCUCACCAGAAGUCUGCAUGUGCGCCAGCUGCAGCCACAACUCACGUGGUCGAAGUCCUGAGUCCCACAGCAGCCAGCAGGUGGUGGUGGUGGUCGUCGGAUGGCGCAUCUGAGGCCUAGGAGAGGCGGUGAUCGGAUUCAGGUGGUGCGUGCCGCAGCGCUGCACAUCUCCGUCCUCCUCACCAUGCCCUGAGCGAGUGAACGGCCCAAGCCGAGCAACAGUGAUUGCACCCAAGGGGUCCCAGGGUGGGCUGUGGGCUGCUGCCAGAGCGGCGGGAGUAGGCGGCAGAGGCACACGGUAGGAAGGGCCUUUUUUCCAAUCCGAUGUCGGCUGCCACUGUUGGCAGUGGGGCGUUGGGCCAGGUAGCCAUGGGGAAAUCAAAUUCCACGUACGGGUCACCAGUGUUGGGGUAGAAAUCUUGGCUCGCGUCUGGACAGUACACAACAGGCCAACAUGAUUCCACGUGGAAAGGUUUAAUGAGAGAAGACUAGAAGAGGAGAGUAAAGGCCAGCCAUGAGCAUGUGGAGGGAAGAGGGUAGGAGGAUGGGGAAAGAAAGGAUGAAGGGGAAGAGGGGAAGAGGGCAGAGAAGAGAGAGCAAGAGAGAGAGGAGGGGUGUGCAAGCAGCCCCUUUUAUAGUCAGGCAUACCUGGCUGUUGCUAGGUAACUAUGGGGCGGAGCUUACCUGGCUGUUGCCAGGUAACUAUGGGGGUGAAGCUUAGAUAGAAUACCAACAGUUAUAUCAUAAAACAGCAGUAAUUCCAUUUUGUUAGGUGUGUAUAUAAGAAUACAUAACAUGUAUUUGUCUCAUCUCCUCUGAAUCCCUAAAGGGAUUUAAGGGCCUCACAUUCUUGGUCUCUUUAGCUCUCACUGUCUUCUUGGUUUUUGGUGUUAGCCCAUAGAUAGGGCAGCAAGCCUAUACUAUUUCACCACUGCUGCCACAUAAUGGAAUCUGAGUCCAGCCAGUGGAGCUGACUCAUCCAUGAGCCAUGUCUCUGGGACACAGUCUAGGCUGGCUGCAGUAUUUCAUUGGGACUGUACUUGAUCAGUGAAUGGUGACCUUGGUGGAUGGGGCAUCUAUCGUUAAUAAAACCAUGCAUAUAGAGAAGAAGA
Molecule: long non-coding RNA, 2092 nt
Organism: Rattus norvegicus (Norway rat)
Lineage: Eukaryota; Metazoa; Chordata; Mammalia; Rodentia; Muridae
Source: RefSeq, a predicted model, not a curated record